RNAcentral lists this ribosomal RNA (518 nucleotides) under uncultured bacterium. Its description in RNAcentral is "partial 16S ribosomal RNA". The record is from RNAcentral.
ACACUGUUCAUGGGUUACCGCGGCUGCUGGCACGGAGUUAGCCGGUGCUUCUUCUGUGAGUGAUGUCCUUCCUGCCGGUUAUUGACCCGCAGGCCUUCUUCCUCACUGAAAGUGCUUUACAACCCGAAGGCCUUCUUCACACACGCGGCAUGGCUGGAUCAGGGUUGCCCCCAUUGUCCAAUAUUCCCCACUGCUGCCUCCCGUAGGAGUCUGGGCCGUGUCUCAGUCCCAGUGUGGCUGAUCAUCCUCUCAGACCAGCUACGGAUCGUCGCCUUGGUGAGCCGUUACCUCACCAACCAGCUAAUCCGACAUAGGCUCAUCCGAUAGCGCGAGGCCCGAAGGUCCCCCGNUUUCCCCCGUAGGGCGUAUGCGGUAUUAGCCUGGGUUUCCCAGGUUAUCCCCACUACCGGGCAGAUUCCUAUGCAUUACUCACCCGUCCGCCGCUCGCCACCAGGGAGCAAGCUCCCCGUGCUGCCGCUCGACUUGCAUGUGUUAGGCCUGCCGCCAGCGUUCAAUCU